This 830-nucleotide ribosomal RNA is filed under the name Saturnispora bothae. Its description in RNAcentral is "LSU rRNA". It matches the Rfam family "Eukaryotic large subunit ribosomal RNA", at positions 22 to 908 of the family's 3401-position model. The record is from RNAcentral. Lineage: Eukaryota; Fungi; Ascomycota; Pichiomycetes; Pichiales; Pichiaceae.
UACCCGCUGAACUUAAGCAUAUCAAUAAGCGGAGGAAAAGAAACCAACAGGGAUUGCCCCAGUAGCGGCGAGUGAAGCGGCAAAAGCUCCAUUUUGAAAGCGCCUCGGCGCGUUGUAGAACGGUUUGGACUAAGGCGUGGGCGGCAGCUAAGUCCCCUGGAACGGGGCGCCACAGAGGGUGAGAGCCCCGUGCGCUGCCUGAAGCGCUGUAGUCUCUGCCACGGAGUCGAGUUGUUUGGGAAUGCAGCUCCAAGUGGGUGGUAAAUUCCAUCUAAGGCUAAAUACUGGCGAGAGACCGAUAGCGAACAAGUACAGUGAUGGAAAGAUGAAAAGCACUUUGAAAAGAGAGUGAAACAGUACGUGAAAUUGUUGAAAGGGAAGGGUAUUUGGCCCGACAUGGGUCCUGUGCACCGUUGCCUCUCGUGGGCGGCGCUCUGCUGGGGCCUGGGCCAGCGUCAGUUUUGGUGGGAGGAGAAAGGUUGGGUGACCCACACUGUGGCGAGCCUUAUUGGAUACUCCCUACCGGGACUGAGGACUGCCGUUGUAGGACGCUGGCACAACGGCCAAAUACCGCCCGUCUUGAAACAUGGACCAAGGAGUCUAACAUCUAUGCGAGUAUUUGGGUGUCAAACCCUCAUGCGGAAUGAAAGUGAACGUAGGUCGGACCCUUCGGGGGCACGAUCGACCGAUCCCGAUGUUUAUCGGAAGGAUUUGAGUAGGAGCAUAGCUGUUGGGACCCGAAAGAUGGUGAACUAUGCCUGAAUAGGGUGAAGCCAGAGGAAACUCUGGUGGAGGCUCGUAGCGGUUCUGACGUGCAAAUCGAUCGUCGA